UACGAAGGGGGCUAGCGUUGCUCGGAAUCACUGGGCGUAAGGGGUGCGUAGGCGGGUCUUUAAGUCAGAGGUGAAAUCCUGGAGCUCAACUCCAGAACUGCCUUUGAUACUGAGGAUCUUGAGUUCGGGAGAGGUGAGUGGAACUGCGAGUGUAGAGGUGAAAUUCGUAGAUAUUCGCAAGAACACCAGUGGCGAAGGCGGCUCACUGGCCCGAUACUGACGCUGAGGCACGAAAGCGUGGGGAGCAAACAGG
Molecule: ribosomal RNA, 253 nt
Filed under: uncultured bacterium
Lineage: Bacteria
Description: partial 16S ribosomal RNA
Rfam family: Bacterial small subunit ribosomal RNA
Source: RNAcentral